This 431-nucleotide ribosomal RNA is filed under the name uncultured bacterium. RNAcentral describes it as "bacterial SSU rRNA". It matches the Rfam family "Bacterial small subunit ribosomal RNA", at positions 114 to 541 of the family's 1533-position model. The record is from RNAcentral.
UGUCUGGGAAACUGCCUGAUGGAGGGGGAUAACUACUGGAAACGGUAGCUAAUACCGCAUAACGUCGCAAGACCAAAGAGGGGGACCUUCGGGCCUCUUGCCAUCGGAUGUGCCCAGAUGGGAUUAGCUAGUAGGUGGGGUAACGGCUCACCUAGGCGACGAUCCCUAGCUGGUCUGAGAGGAUGACCAGCCACACUGGAACUGAGACACGGUCCAGACUCCUACGGGAGGCAGCAGUGGGGAAUAUUGCACAAUGGGCGCAAGCCUGAUGCAGCCAUGCCGCGUGUAUGAAGAAGGCCUUCGGGUUGUAAAGUACUUUCAGCGGGGAGGAAGGGAGUAAAGUUAAUACCUUUGCUCAUUGACGUUACCCGCAGAAGAAGCACCGGCUAACUCCGUGCCAGCAGCCGCGGUAAUACGGAGGGUGCAAGCGU